AGCGCAGGUGGUUUAUUAAGUCUGGUGUAAAAGGCAGUGGCUCAACCAUUGUAUGCAUUGGAAACUGGUAGACUUGAGUGCAGGAGAGGAGAGUGGAAUUCCAUGUGUAGCGGUGAAAUGCGUAGAUAUAUGGAGGAACACCGGUGGCGAAAGCGGCUCUCUGGCCUGUAACUGACACUGAGGCUCGAAAGGACGUGGGGAGCAAACA
This 208-nucleotide ribosomal RNA is filed under the name uncultured bacterium. Its description in RNAcentral is "partial 16S ribosomal RNA". It matches the Rfam family "Bacterial small subunit ribosomal RNA", at positions 568 to 774 of the family's 1533-position model. The record is from RNAcentral.